Molecule: non-coding RNA, 196 nt
Filed under: Neobacillus piezotolerans
Lineage: Bacteria; Bacillati; Bacillota; Bacilli; Caryophanales; Bacillaceae
Description: 6S / SsrS RNA
Rfam family: 6S / SsrS RNA
About the family: E. coli 6S RNA was the first non coding RNA to be sequenced, but its function was unknown until recently. It consists of 184 nucleotides that fold into an extended hairpin structure with a large single-stranded internal bulge.
Source: Rfam by way of RNAcentral
UCAAGGCUGCGUUGUUCGUACUCAUAAUAAAGUUUUAACCUUUAAGCUGUUAUAGGGAGUUUUUGAACGAAGCUGGAAUGACAUGCCUCCGCCUACACGGCAAGGGGGACAGGCAGGAACGCUUCUGGAGACACCCACUUUGAGGAGUGGUGGUUUAAAACUUUCUUAUAUUACCUACGGCAAAUGCGGCUUUUCC